GGGUAUAUAGCUCAGCAGCACAGUGCCUGCCUGGCAAGCAUGAGGCCCUGAGUUCCAUUCCCAGUACCA
Molecule: transfer RNA, 69 nt
Filed under: Cavia porcellus (domestic guinea pig)
Lineage: Eukaryota; Metazoa; Chordata; Mammalia; Rodentia; Caviidae
Rfam family: tRNA
About the family: Transfer RNA (tRNA) molecules are approximately 80 nucleotides in length.
Source: Rfam by way of RNAcentral